RNAcentral lists this long non-coding RNA (324 nucleotides) under Mytilus galloprovincialis (Mediterranean mussel). The record is from RNAcentral. Lineage: Eukaryota; Metazoa; Mollusca; Bivalvia; Mytilida; Mytilidae.
GCUCACUAUCAUCACCAAAAAAAAAAUGAAAAAAAAAGAAAUCAAAUAAAAAAGAAACAGUUAAAUCAGACAGUUGGGGCGGUGAAUCUGUCUGGGAUCUUCCCAGUAACAUAGAUGAUUCUUCCACCUCAAAUAGUCUUCCAUUCAUCUGUAUCUCCUUCAUCCAGUACAAAGUCUACUAGAGCCCAAUCUCCUCUUCGUUCUCCAGAAAAGAAGGAUGUCCAAAAGAAGCUCAGAGGUCUUCUGAUUCGAGGUCGCGGGGUAGGGGUCGAGGCGGAGAAAAACCAGCUGCGUGUGGUCCUGGAGAUCGACGACUCUCCUGAC